Phragmites australis (common reed) is the source of this 778-nucleotide long non-coding RNA. RefSeq lists it as uncharacterized. The record is from RefSeq and is a predicted model, not a curated record. NCBI's taxonomy places the organism in Eukaryota, Viridiplantae, Streptophyta, Magnoliopsida, Poales, Poaceae. The transcript is spliced from 2 exons.
AUACGUAACCAGCACAACCUGAGCGCAAGCGGAAACGCCACCUGCUCCGUGAUCCGUGUUGUGCAUCGUCAUCCAUCGACGCAGGCGGCAGGCUGCACGAAUGGCGAGCAGCAGGGGGAGCGAACGACAGGAGGAGGAGGAGGCGCGUCGCGCCCCCGGCGUCGCGGGAGGGGGGGGUUUGCAACGCGCGCGCGCCGUGGUGGCGUAGUCGUUAACCUUGGAGCCGCCUUCCGGAACCCCACGACCGCCGCCGCCCCGGUCCGAGAACGGCGAGGAUCCCGCGAGCCUUGGCCUCCACUGCUGAUCCUCGAUACGGCCGUUUGCUUCCGUGGGAUGCAGUGACGCAGUUUUUAUGCGGUGUCUGCCGCGGUGCGUCCCGCCCUUGGGGUCCGGCAUUCCGUCGAACAUGUCCCGAGCACCAACGGCGUGCUCCUUUCUCAGAAAGUAACAGAGCACAUAUUGUCUCACUUUGGCUUGAAGGGCAGUAGCUUGGAAAUAACUUGAAUGCCAUGGCCUGGUCUGAUGGAAUGAGUUGCAUACUAUGAUCUCGUAUUCUUGUCAAGGUUGGUUACCUGGGUUCCCAUCAAAAUUGAUCUGUGGUGUGUAGAGCGCUGGCAUCUCGAGAACGACUUCGAAGAUCUUCCUUAUUUUUCAGUAAGCCUGCGUCUGUUCAGUUGUGCAAUUCCUUACCCAGUUAUUUCUUCGAGAUAGUGACACUGCAACGUGCACAUUUUUAGCUAUGAAUAUGCUACUUGCUGCUUAUAUAUAUGGUCUAAUA